CUCUGGGCGUGGAUAACUAAUCAGACUGCAUAAAUGACAAAAGCCCUCUCAUCCCACAGCAGGUUAUUGGGAGUCGUACCUUGACUUCAGUUCAUUUUGCUCACAUAGACCAAAAAGUAAAGCCCAAGAAAGGACAAUUUGCAAAACGGUGGUGCCAAGGUCAUUUGUUUGCAACAUGAUGCUCGGUAGGAAGUGAGAGGACGAGCAGCACCAGCAAACACAGGACCUUCCCUCCCCUCUGCAGAUCACAGUGAAAGCUGUAGCCCACAGUGUUGCUCACGAUUUCAGAGGAGAAUUGAAAAUGAGGAGGAAUGGAAUAUUCGCAAGUGUCUACUUGUCAACAAAGCGUGCCAGGUGUGUUCUCUCAUCUCCGGGGAUCAGCAGCUUCCUGUAAUCUCCCUUUAUGCCUUUCAUUCACUCUAAUCACAAGGAUUUUACAAGAGGCCCUCCUUGACCCCAGGCAUGAGCUCGGCCCUUUAUUUGUAAGUGAACUCAGCAGUGUUCACUUAACACUUUUAAGGAUCUGCGCCCAGGGAAGGGGAAGCGUGGUCAGACAGCAGGCUCUCUGAACUCACCUUUCUGGACAAAGAUCUCCCUAGGCAUUGUACACGCCUCCUUCUUUUCUUUCCCCUUGAGCUGUCCGGGUUUCACAGCAAGUUAUAAAGCGAAGAGCCUCACCUGCCUUUGAGACCACCUCCCCUUGGCCCAGCUCAGUAGCUGGUCCUCAGCAACCUGAGCGGCUCACUUGGGAGGCUGCAUGGCCGAGCAGGCGAAGCACUUACAGUGGAAGCGAGGCCUGUGAUGCUGUCAACUUGCUUCUUAACCCUAGGAUGCUGUGAGAAUUAAAUUACAUAGUAGCUGCAAAAUAAUUUGGCUUUCUUGGAGUUGGACACCACCUGAACCUGAGUGAAAUGAUUGUGCACUUCUUAAUGGCCUCCAUCUCUGGCCAAGCUGCCUUGGGACCAGAACAAUCAUCUAAGUCCCAGUUUCCAGCCUAAAACAGCAUGAGGACAAGGCCAGGAGGCCACAGCAAGGCUGUAAUCAGAACCCACAAGGAUUGCAUGGAGAUGCUGCAGUGCCGCCACCACCCAACGGCCGGAGCCCCCAGCAAAGAGUUUUCCACAAAAUGGGAGAAAAGUAUAAGAAGCUCUUCCUGCUAUGGGGAAACAAGGCAACUCAGAGGACUGAGAGACUCAGGACUUCCAGACAGAGGAUCAGGCGUACCUCAUGCAUGGGUGUUUUGGAAGAAGGCCAUUUUGAAACCUACUCUGUAUCAUUACAGACUUUCAGUGAAUUAAUUUAGAAUAAAUCCACCUCCUUCCCUGUAUGUGGUAGAAUUUCACUGGGAUACAACGUGAGGACAGAGAUUUGAACCCUCAGUCCCACUUAUGAUGCGGGGCUUCAGGGGCACCACGGACAUGCUCCGCAUUCACCCAUCUGUGGGGGAGGACUAAGGAAGCUGCGCUGGUGUGUGAGAAAGUAAUGGGCUCUUUUAAGCCCUUUUACUUAAAGCAAUAAAAGAAUAACUGCGUCAUCUGCUGGAGUAAAAGUUUUCAACAGAUGACCGGCUUGGUUCUUAAAACACACACACACACACACACACACACACGAGGAGUGAACCACACAGCAUGCAAAUGAGAGGAACAAACGCUUUUGUUUGUUGGAGAUUAAUUUUUAUGGAAAGUUGUACAUUGCAGAUUGCAAUCAACCUGACACAUUCUCUCCCUCCUGCUCCUUCUCUCAGUUGGCUUUGAGGAGAGGCACUUCCAAGUUUGAGAAUUCAUCUUGUCUGAUUAAUGAUGUGUACACAGAGAUUUCAGUCUCAUCUUCCUUCUCUGGGUCCUUUUUAUUCAGUUGUUUGCUGUGCUACAACCCUGCGGAUAGAUGGUUCUGCCGUGAUAAAUGUAAAGUUUGCAUAAGCCAUGUAACAGCAGGACAGCCUAUUAUCACCGUACAUUUUCCAUGGCUGUGCAAACCUCUGUAGGCUAUUUUAUUGCUAAUAGAUCCACAGAGAAACAGUAGUGAUUUUACGACUCUUUUUAAAAUGGAAAUUCAUGUUUGAGAAAUACAACUGGGAGGAAACAGAUGUAAACCACUUAAGCAUUUGCAGAAAAUUGAGAUGCACACUCUUAUUUACAGACCUACAUAGCCUCCAUCGCUUUAUUUUCAAAAUUAAAAUAAGCAAUCUGUUUACCAUGGGAAAUGAUGAACUGUAAACUUGUUGUUUUUCCUUUUACAUGGCAAUGGCCGCCAUCGUUGGGUUUAAUGGCAGAACUGAAGCAGGCAGCGUGGCAAUUUUUUCCCCUUAGGUUUUAUUGUCUGUAAUGCAUUCCCUCUGUAAUCUGCGCGAGAGGUAGGUAAGUGGGAAAGAUUUUCGUGUAACUGUAUGUCUGAAUUCACAUUAUGCUUGAACAGCUAAAAUGAUUACCAGACACAUUAGAAAGAUUUUAACCAGGUAUUUAACACUAUCUGUAAAUUGCUUAAAAUACUGGAAGAGUCAACCUCCACAAAAACGCUUUCACAUGGCCAAACACAAAAGCACAACCCAUCCAAAAACAUUUAUUCUGGCCUCGUCCCAACUUUCUCACAUCUUUUGGAGUUGUGACAAAUGUCACAUGUUGGAAAGGAGAUACAAAUGGAAGCAUCACAAAACAAUAUAGCAAUGAGAAGUCUGUCCACCAGACUCAUCAGAGCAAGCUCCUUGUGGCAUGUGGAAGCUCCUCUGGUUUUUAAUUUCAGCAUUGAUCUUUUUUUUUUUUUUUUUUUUUAGGUCUAGAACUACAUUUUUUGUUGCGGCAAAAUAUAUGCAACACAAAAUUGACCGUUUUAACCAUUUCUAAGUAUACAAUUCAGUGGCAUGAAAUGCAUUCACAUUGUCGUGCAACCAGCACCACCAUCCAGCUCCAGAACUUCAUCACAGACUGAAACUCUGUACCCAUGAAAGCAAAGACUCGCCAUUUCCCCCUCUUCUCCCAGCCCCUAGUAAUUUCUAUUCUACCUUCUGGCUGUAUGAAUUUGCCUAUCCUAGGCACCUCAUAUAAGUGGAAUUAUACAGUACUUGUCCCUUUGUAACUAGCUUAUUUCACUUAGCAUAAUGUCCUCAGGGUUCACCCAUGUUGUAGCAUGUAUCAGAAUGUCUUUCCUUUCUAAGGCUGAAUAAUAUUCCAUGGUGUGUAUAUACCACAUUUUGUUUAUCUGCCCUGUGUGGCUAGUCCUGGGAUUUUAAUAUUGAGGAGGUAUCCCCAUCAACCCGGGGAUGGAAGUGGCCUGCUUAUUCGUGAGCACUGCAAAGCAGGACGGCUAAGGAGAAUGAGAGGCGUCCAGACUAGGUCUGCAGAAUCAGGCAGGGAGGGCUCCUGGAAACUAUAGGUUUCUGGUCUCUGUAUAACAAUCACCAGCUGUGGGAAUAUUUUGCUUUCAUCCUUAAGCUUUGUUUUAAAUGUCAAAGGAGACUAAGCUAGACCCUCUUAGGAACUGAAAUUUUUCUCGGAGACAAGAUAUGAUGGACUUCGGCCCAAAGUCAGAUAACAGAAUGUGUUUCCAACCCCAUGCCUCCCCAAGCCACUCACUGCCACUGGGGAAGGCACUCGGGAGACUCCCUGAUCAUGGCCCUUGGAUUGCAUCAAAUGAGGCACAGCCACAGUGAGCAGGCUCUGAGCUCACUCACUCUUGGUGGAAACCAUACUAUAUGGAGA
This 3695-nucleotide long non-coding RNA is filed under the name Homo sapiens (human). RNAcentral describes it as "HSALNT0120275". Lineage: Eukaryota; Metazoa; Chordata; Mammalia; Primates; Hominidae. The record is from RNAcentral.